Molecule: ribosomal RNA, 506 nt
Filed under: uncultured bacterium
Lineage: Bacteria
Description: bacterial SSU rRNA
Rfam family: Bacterial small subunit ribosomal RNA
Source: RNAcentral
GACGAACGCUGGCGGCGUGGAUUAGGCAUGCAAGUCGAACGGUAUCAUCCUUUCGGGGGUGAGAGAGUGGCGAACUGGUGAGUAACACGUAGGUUAUCUACCCUCAAGACGGGGACAACCCAGGGAAACUUGGGCUAAUACCGGAUGUGAGCAACUUUUAGUUGUUUGAAAGGUGGCGUAAGCUGUCGCUUGGGGAUGAGCCUGCGUCCUAUUAGUUAGUUGGUGAGGUAACGGCUCACCUAGGCAAUGAUAGGUAGGCGGCCUUAACGGGUGGUCGCCCACACUGGGAUUGAGAUACGGCCCAGACUCCUACGGGAGGCAGCAGUCGAGAAUAGUCUACAAUGGUCGGAAGACUGAUAGUGCGACGCCGCGUGAACGAUGAAUCCCUUCGGGGGUGUAAAGUUCUUUUAUAUGUGAGCAGUGCUUCUUAUAUUAACAGUAUGGGGAGAGAGAUAUUAGCAUAUGAAUAAGCAACGGCUAACUCCGUGCCAGCAGCCGCGGUAAUA